GAUGAACGCUGGCGGCGUGCCUAAUACAUGCAAGUCGAGCGAACAGACGAGGAGCUUGCUCCUCUGACGUUAGCGGCGGACGGGUGAGUAACACGUGGAUAACCUCCCUAUAAGACUGGGAUAACUUCGGGAAACCGGAGCUAAUACCGGAUAAUAUAUUGAACCGCAUGGUUCAAUAGUGAAAGACGGUUUUGCUGUCACUUAUAGAUGGAUCCGCGCCGCAUUAGCUAGUUGGUAAGGUAACGGCUUACCAAGGCAACGAUGCGUAGCCGACCUGAGAGAGUGAUCGGCCGCACUGGAACGGAGCCACGCACCAGACUCCUACGGGAGGGAGCAGAAGGCAAUCGUCCGCAAUGGGCGAGAGCCUGACGGAGCAGCCGCGCGUGAGUGAUGAAGGUCUUGGGAUCGUAAAACUCGGUUACGAGGGAAGAACAACUGUGUGAGGAACUAUGCCCGACUUGACGGUACCUAAUCAGAAAGCCACGGCUAACUACGUG
Molecule: ribosomal RNA, 497 nt
Filed under: uncultured bacterium
Lineage: Bacteria
Description: partial 16S ribosomal RNA
Rfam family: Bacterial small subunit ribosomal RNA
Source: RNAcentral